UGGCCUAAGUUGUCAUCGACCCAUAUAUAUCUAAAUCUAUUAGGGCUAACAGCUCCUUUGCCCUUUCUCCAUGUCUAAUAAAUAGAGUCUUAGUCAUCUUACUCAUGAGAUAAGAUUCACAAAUUCCUAAUGAUUCACAAACAUAUGGGUCAAAAAACUCUUCUUUAUAAACUUAUUUAUCCUUAACUCACUAAUAUGAUCAAGACGGUAUUACUAAAGAUUGUAAUAUUCAUAUUCUCUUUUUCUUUUUAUAUUUCUAUCAAUAUAAAAAAUAUUUUUAUUGAGUGCAAAAUUAAAAGAUUAUUAUCAACAUAACCACUAUCAUAAUAUUCAUUAAAAAAAAUGGAGCAAUUAUUGCCCAUUAACUUAUUUUAUAACUUUGUAUUAAUAAUAAAGGUACAGAAAUAAUAUUUCUAAUAACUUUAGAUAUGUAAUAACAAU
Molecule: long non-coding RNA, 441 nt
Filed under: Elaeis guineensis (African oil palm)
Lineage: Eukaryota; Viridiplantae; Streptophyta; Magnoliopsida; Arecales; Arecaceae
Description: long non-coding RNA (EGUI_LNC058884)
Source: RNAcentral